RNAcentral lists this ribosomal RNA (1550 nucleotides) under Klebsiella aerogenes. RNAcentral's name for it is "bacterial SSU rRNA". It matches the Rfam family "Bacterial small subunit ribosomal RNA". Lineage: Bacteria; Pseudomonadati; Pseudomonadota; Gammaproteobacteria; Enterobacterales; Enterobacteriaceae. The record is from RNAcentral.
AAAUUGAAGAGUUUGAUCAUGGCUCAGAUUGAACGCUGGCGGCAGGCCUAACACAUGCAAGUCGAGCGGUAGCACAGAGAGCUUGCUCUCGGGUGACGAGCGGCGGACGGGUGAGUAAUGUCUGGGAAACUGCCUGAUGGAGGGGGAUAACUACUGGAAACGGUAGCUAAUACCGCAUAACGUCGCAAGACCAAAGUGGGGGACCUUCGGGCCUCAUGCCAUCAGAUGUGCCCAGAUGGGAUUAGCUAGUAGGUGGGGUAAUGGCUCACCUAGGCGACGAUCCCUAGCUGGUCUGAGAGGAUGACCAGCCACACUGGAACUGAGACACGGUCCAGACUCCUACGGGAGGCAGCAGUGGGGAAUAUUGCACAAUGGGCGCAAGCCUGAUGCAGCCAUGCCGCGUGUAUGAAGAAGGCCUUCGGGUUGUAAAGUACUUUCAGCGAGGAGGAAGGCAUUAAGGUUAAUAACCUUGGUGAUUGACGUUACUCGCAGAAGAAGCACCGGCUAACUCCGUGCCAGCAGCCGCGGUAAUACGGAGGGUGCAAGCGUUAAUCGGAAUUACUGGGCGUAAAGCGCACGCAGGCGGUCUGUCAAGUCGGAUGUGAAAUCCCCGGGCUCAACCUGGGAACUGCAUUCGAAACUGGCAGGCUAGAGUCUUGUAGAGGGGGGUAGAAUUCCAGGUGUAGCGGUGAAAUGCGUAGAGAUCUGGAGGAAUACCGGUGGCGAAGGCGGCCCCCUGGACAAAGACUGACGCUCAGGUGCGAAAGCGUGGGGAGCAAACAGGAUUAGAUACCCUGGUAGUCCACGCCGUAAACGAUGUCGACUUGGAGGUUGUGCCCUUGAGGCGUGGCUUCCGGAGCUAACGCGUUAAGUCGACCGCCUGGGGAGUACGGCCGCAAGGUUAAAACUCAAAUGAAUUGACGGGGGCCCGCACAAGCGGUGGAGCAUGUGGUUUAAUUCGAUGCAACGCGAAGAACCUUACCUACUCUUGACAUCCAGAGAACUUAGCAGAGAUGCUUUGGUGCCUUCGGGAACUCUGAGACAGGUGCUGCAUGGCUGUCGUCAGCUCGUGUUGUGAAAUGUUGGGUUAAGUCCCGCAACGAGCGCAACCCUUAUCCUUUGUUGCCAGCGGUUAGGCCGGGAACUCAAAGGAGACUGCCAGUGAUAAACUGGAGGAAGGUGGGGAUGACGUCAAGUCAUCAUGGCCCUUACGAGUAGGGCUACACACGUGCUACAAUGGCAUAUACAAAGAGAAGCGACCUCGCGAGAGCAAGCGGACCUCAUAAAGUAUGUCGUAGUCCGGAUUGGAGUCUGCAACUCGACUCCAUGAAGUCGGAAUCGCUAGUAAUCGUAGAUCAGAAUGCUACGGUGAAUACGUUCCCGGGCCUUGUACACACCGCCCGUCACACCAUGGGAGUGGGUUGCAAAAGAAGUAGGUAGCUUAACCUUCGGGAGGGCGCUUACCACUUUGUGAUUCAUGACUGGGGUGAAGUCGUAACAAGGUAACCGUAGGGGAACCUGCGGUUGGAUCACCUCCUUACCUUAAAGAA